This 954-nucleotide ribosomal RNA is filed under the name Triticum aestivum (bread wheat). Its description in RNAcentral is "partial small subunit ribosomal RNA". Lineage: Eukaryota; Viridiplantae; Streptophyta; Magnoliopsida; Poales; Poaceae. The record is from RNAcentral.
AUGGAGCCGCCGCGCCGCACCAAGCGCCCCGCCGGGGACGGCGACGACGACUUGGAGGCCGCCGCCGAAGCACGAGGCUACUACGGCGCCGCGGCCUACGACUUCCUCGACGAUGACGAGCUGGAUGGCUUCUCCUCGCACGGCACAGGCGGCGACAUGGGGUUUAUGGACGAGAACGGCAGCUUCGUGGAGCGCGUGGUGCGGGGCGGCACCAAGGAGGAGGCCUGGCUGGGCGCCGCGCACGUCGACGGCGAGUGCCCCGGCCCUGCGGCCACGAAGCGCGCGAGGAAGGCCCUCGAGAGGCAGGACGAGGACGAGCGGAUCCUCGAGGGCGUCGUCGGCUCCCGCGCCGUCUUCGACAUCAAGAAGCGGAUCGCGGGUCUCCUCCAGCCCGGCGAGACGGUCCCGCGCGCGCUGCGGAGGCUCAAGGGAGACAAACGUGGCGGGGGGAAGGGGAUGGACGAGGGGGCGCGGUGCGCGUUCGAGGAGCUGAUGGACGCCUCCGCGGAGCUCGUGCGACGCGGCGACCUCGACGCGUACACGGACGACCGCGAGGCCUUCGAGCGCGGCGCCUGGGACUACGAGUACGCCCGCCGCCAACGCUGCCUGGGGCGUGCCGCUCCACCAGCCGCCGCCGUUCUCGAGGCUCAAGAAGACGACGAAGCUGGCCCACAGACCGCCGCCGCGGCCCGUGACUACUACGUGGACAUGUUCGGAGACGGCGCAGUCGAUGUCGGUGCCGGCGCGAAAACGGCGGUCGUUCCAUCCAGUGGACACGCAGCUAAUCCUGACCCGCCUGCAGCGCAGCCUGGUGCUUCGGGUGCGACGACGGAGGAGGAAGCCGGCGGCGUCGCAGGCUGGGACUACGUGUACGAUCCGUCGUCGGGAUACUACUACAGCGGCAGCACGGGGCACUACUACGACGCCGCGUCCGGGUGCUACUGGUCCGUGUAA